GUGUACUUGCUUCAUUUGCACAUAUACUAAAAUUGGAAUGAUAUAGAGCAGAUUAGCGUGGCCCCUGUGCAAAAUGACAUG
RNAcentral lists this small nuclear RNA (81 nucleotides) under Notamacropus eugenii (tammar wallaby). Lineage: Eukaryota; Metazoa; Chordata; Mammalia; Diprotodontia; Macropodidae. The record is from RNAcentral.